CCGCCCCGCGUCGUCCGUCCACUCGUUGCUUCGUCUUCUUCCUCGCCCCCCUCCGCCUCCCGAUUAAAUCCGGCUAUUUAAAUCGAAUCCCCCAACGAACUCCCACUUUUCCCCAGCAGCAGCAGCGGCGUCAGCGGAGCAGCGCGAGCGAGAGAGCCAACCCUAGCGGAGCGAGCGAGCGCGCGCCAUGGGAUAGGUAGUGGUUCUCUGCGGGCCAUGGAGUGGGACAGCGACUCGGACGGCAGCGGGGAGGAGGACGAGGAGGAGGAGGAGGGGGAGGGGGUCGGGCCGUGGGGCGCGGAUGGGUGCCGGGGCGGCGGCGGGUUCUCGCUGGCGAUCGAGGGCGUGCUCGGCGGCGCCUGCGGGCUCGUCGUGUCCGACGCGCUCGAGCCCGACUUCCCCAUCAUCUACGUCAACCGCGGCUUCGAGGACGCCACCGGGUACCACGCCGAGGAGGUGCUCGGCAGGAACUGCCGGUUUUUGCAAUGCAGAGGACCAUUUGCUCAGAGGAGACAUCCUCUUGUUGAUGCUAUAGUAGUUACUGAGAUUCAGAGAUGCUUAGAGGAAGGAACUGAGUUCCAGGGUGAUCUGCUGAAUUUUAGGAAAGAUGGUUCCCCAUUUAUGACGAGUUUGCAACUAAAGCCCAUAUAUGGAGAUGAUGAAACAAUAACUCAUUAUAUGGGCAUUCAGUUCUUCAACGAUUGUAAUGUUGAUUUGGGGCCUUUGCCUGGCUCUAUGGCAAAGGAAGUUGUGAGAUCAACAUGGAUUACACCAGAUAAUACUCUCCGGCCAAGUCCAACAGGGAAGGGUAACUUUUGUUCUGAGUAUUCUCAUCUCUUCCAACUGAGUGAUGAGGUACUGUGCCAGAAGAUCCUAUCAAGAUUGUCACCUAGGGAUAUAGCAUCUGUAAACUCUGUAUGUAAGCGUCUGUAUCACAUGACAAAGAAUGAUCACCUUUGGAGAAUGGUUUGUCAGAAUGCAUGGGGCAACGAUGCUACUCGGGCUCUUGAGAAUGUGGCUGGCACAAAAAGUUUGGCAUGGGGACGGCUAGCAAGGGAGUUGACUACACUGGAAGCCGUCACCUGGAAGAAAUUGACGAUCGGGGGUUCAGUGGAGCCAUCUCGCUGUAACUUCAGUGCUUGUGCUGUAGGAAACCGUGUUGUCCUGUUCGGUGGGGAAGGUGUUAACGCACAGCCGAUGAAUGAUACAUUUGUGCUGGAUUUGAGUGCGAGCAAGCCAGAGUGGAGGCACAUCAAUGUGGGGUUGGCUCCUCCUGGCCGCUGGGGCCAUACCCUGUCAUGCCUAAAUGGAUCGCUGUUGGUUCUGUUUGGUGGAUGUGGAGGCCAGGGCCUGCUCAAUGACGUGUUUAUUCUGGAUUUGGAUGCAAAACAUCCUACAUGGCGUGAGAUUUUUGGCCUUACACCACCGGUUCCACGGUCAUGGCAUAGCUCUUGCACACUGGAUGGAUCGAAGCUGGUGGUUUCUGGUGGCUGUGCCGACUCAGGUGUGCUCCUCAGUGAUACUCAUCUUUUGGAUGUAACAAUGGAAAGGCCUGUUUGGAGGGAGAUACCUGCACCUUGGACUCCGCCUUCUAGGUUGGGGCACUCACUCUCUGUCUACGAUGGCAGGAAAAUCCUGAUGUUUGGUGGUCUUGCUAAAAGCGGCCCUUUACGACUCAGGUCUGGCGAUGUAUUCACAAUGGACUUGAGUGAUGCUGCGCCAUCCUGGCGGUGCAUCACCGGUAGUGGAAUGCCAGGAGCCUGUAACCCCGCUGGGGUUGGUCCGCCUCCUCGCCUUGAUCAUGUUGCUGUGAGCCUACCCGGAGGGAGAAUUAUGAUAUUUGGUGGCUCAGUAGCAGGUCUUCACUCUGCUUCACAGCUCUACCUCCUGGAUCCGACCGAAGAGAAACCCACCUGGAGAAUACUGAACGUCCCAGGGCGACCUCCGAGGUUUGCAUGGGGACACAGUACAUGUGUCAUGGAAGGAUCAAAGGCAAUAGUUCUUGGAGGACAAACUGGAGAGGAGUGGACGCUGACUGAAAUACAUGAACUCUCUCUGGCGAGCUCGUUAGUUUGAGACCAGAAAGGCUCGUGGCAGGUUAGUUGUGUAUGCUUGGAAGGCUAGUCUCAAGUAGAUCAAAGCUGGCUACUCCCGCAAUGUCCCGGAGUCGCCCCCCGUGUUGUCUAUGAAGUAGGAAUAUGUUCUCUCUGCUUUUGCUGCUGCUGCUGUCUGUUUGGUCUACUACAAGGUAACUAAUCAUCAUCCAUAACCCUCAAUGUGUGUUGUUCUCGUCAGAUGUUUCCAGCACUCUGAUAGGGAACACAAAAGGGACUGGCGUCGUAUACCUGGAGUCUCCGGCGCAACACUUCUGUGGCUCGGCCCCCUGGCACCGCCGUGGCGACAGUGAUGAUGUUGUAAUUGGUCCUGAAAUUCCGACCGCCCACCGGUUAUGUUGAGCUUUGCUUUUCUGUACCUUGUAUGUUUUCCGCGAGCUGCUUGGUCACUCCUCUCACAUUGUUUGUUUACUAAUACCGCUGACAAAAACUCUUCAGUUUAUACCUUUGUAAGUUGUAACUCUGAUUGUAGCUAAAAAGUUAUCAGGGCUGGUUGUAUGGAAAAACAGGGAGAGUUUUGCUUCCCCGCGACAUUUGUUGUAGAUAUACGUACUUAUGAUGCCAUUUUGAGAUCUGGUUUCU
RNAcentral lists this ribosomal RNA (2696 nucleotides) under Triticum aestivum (bread wheat). RNAcentral's name for it is "partial small subunit ribosomal RNA". The record is from RNAcentral. Lineage: Eukaryota; Viridiplantae; Streptophyta; Magnoliopsida; Poales; Poaceae.